This 347-nucleotide unclassified non-coding RNA is filed under the name soil metagenome. RNAcentral describes it as "partial contains 5.8S ribosomal RNA, internal transcribed spacer 2, and large subunit ribosomal RNA". The stretch from base 1 to 120 matches the Rfam family "5.8S ribosomal RNA", at positions 35 to 154 of the family's 154-position model. The record is from RNAcentral.
GAUGAAGAACGUAGCGAAAUGCGAUAAGUAAUGUGAAUUGCAGAAUUCAGUGAAUCAUCGAGUCUUUGAACGCACAAUGCGCCCCCUGGUAUUCCGGGGGGCAUGCCUGUCCGAGCGUCAUUGCUGCCCUCAAGCACGGCUUGUGUGUUGGGCCGUCGUCCCCCUCCUAGGGGACGGGCCCGAAAGGCAGCGGCGGCACCGCGUCCGGUCCUCGAGCGUAUGGGGCUUCGUCACCCGCUCCGUAGGCCCGGCCGGCGCUUGCCGACGACCAUCAAUCUCUUUCUCCAGGUUGACCUCGGAUCAGGUAGGGAUACCCGCUGAACUUAAGCAUAUCAAUAAGCGGAGGA